Long non-coding RNA from Zingiber officinale, 965 nucleotides. RefSeq lists it as uncharacterized. Lineage: Eukaryota; Viridiplantae; Streptophyta; Magnoliopsida; Zingiberales; Zingiberaceae. The transcript is spliced from 3 exons. The record is from RefSeq and is a predicted model, not a curated record.
AUGGUUAUAAGGUUUACUUACUUUUAACAUGCAAAGUUUUAUGAACAUUAUUUACUUUGAGAAUGUUUUGUCAUGAAAGUUUCCAUUUAUGUGAUCUUCAGGAUCUUGAAAUUGUUCAGGAGCAUAGGAAGACUGAGCAUGCCGAUAGUGAUGAGAUUUGUCUUGUCGAUGUGACAACUGUCUACCCUGUUAGUCAUGGACAAUUGGAUUGUCCAACUUGUUCUCCUCUUGGAGCUAAAGAAGACUAGCAUAAGGUUAACUGCCUAGCCAAUUAUUGUUAAGUUAGAGACGGUUCUGUCAACUUUCAUACUAGUCUAGAACUUUUAUGUGCAUAUGCAAUUUGUAUCAUCUUCAGGAACUGGCAAAUGGUCAAAACAAGUUUAAUAAUAAGGAGCACACAUAUAGCUUGAUAUCUGAAUUGCUUCCCUUGCUGAAACAUAUCUAUCAGAACCAAUUAAAUGAGCUCGAAGUAAAGCAAGGGGAUCAAGGUAAGCUUCAAAACAAUUGCCUAGUUUCUUCCUCCAGUUAGAUAUCCUCUUGAUCGAUCUAUCAUCUAGAAGGUGGAUUUUCUGGUAUACUUCUUCGAGUAUAUGAGCCUCACAAUGAGCUUGUUAACUGUAAUUAUUGCAGGACUUCACUAGUGGAUUUUCACAGAAGCUGCUCAAAUUGCUCUUACAAACUUUGCUUAGAUUGUUAUGGAAAGAUAGUAAAGGGAACUGCUUCUCAGACACCUGCAAUUGAUUCCUCCAAGGCUGGUAGGAGACAGAGGGCAAAGAAGUAUGUCAUCAGAAAAAUUGUUGGGAAAAGACAGAGACGUUCUAUAGGCGAGCGACCAGAUAACUCAUCUUUAUCCACCGUUGAGUCUGAUAGCAAGGCUAAGAAUCAUGGAAGCAACAUUCCUUGCCCACCCAAGGAAUCUGGAGUUUACAAAUCUCAAGUACUCCAGAGUUGAAAUUGAUGAAGUG